RNAcentral lists this transfer RNA (76 nucleotides) under Clostridium sp. JN-9. RNAcentral describes it as "tRNA-Pro". It matches the Rfam family "tRNA". Rfam says of the family: Transfer RNA (tRNA) molecules are approximately 80 nucleotides in length. Their secondary structure includes four short double-helical elements and three loops (D, anti-codon, and T loops). Lineage: Bacteria; Bacillati; Bacillota; Clostridia; Eubacteriales; Clostridiaceae. The record is from RNAcentral.
CGGGGUGUAGCGCAGAUGGGAGCGCGUAUGCUUCGGGAGCAUAAGGACGCAAGUUCGAGCCUUGUCACCCCGACCA